Molecule: microRNA precursor, 74 nt
Filed under: Salmo salar (Atlantic salmon)
Lineage: Eukaryota; Metazoa; Chordata; Actinopteri; Salmoniformes; Salmonidae
Also listed under: 2 other names
Description: miRNA (ENSSSAG00000088291.1, ENSSSAG00020072455.1, ENSSSAG00070036066.1, ENSSSAG00075053791.1)
Rfam family: mir-9/mir-79 microRNA precursor family
About the family: The mature ~21nt miRNAs are processed from hairpin precursor sequences represented here. miR-9 is processed from the 5' arm of its precursor, and miR-79 from the 3' arm. The bounds of the precursors are predicted based on conservation and base pairing and are not generally known.
Source: RNAcentral
GUUUCUGUCUUUGGUUAUCUAGCUGUAUGAGUGUUAAAUACCUGUCAUAAAGCUAGAUAACCGAAAGUAGAAAU